This 497-nucleotide ribosomal RNA is filed under the name uncultured bacterium. Its description in RNAcentral is "partial 16S ribosomal RNA". It matches the Rfam family "Bacterial small subunit ribosomal RNA", at positions 29 to 507 of the family's 1533-position model. The record is from RNAcentral.
AGUGAACGCUGGCGGCGGGCCUAAUACAUGCAAGUCGAGCGGACGGACAAUAAGCGUUCGCCUCUAACGUUGGCGACUGACGGAUGGGUGACGCAUAGAUAGCCUACUUCUAAUUCUUGGAGAACUUCGUGGAACCAGUUCUGAUAACACAUAAUAUAUUCAACCGCAUAAUUCAGUGGUUAAUGACAGUUUGCCUGUCACUUAUAGAUGAAGCCGCGCCGGAUUAUCUGGUUGGUAAGGUAACGGCUUACCAAGGCGACGAUGCGUAGCCGAUCUGAGAGGGUGAUCGGCCACACUGGAACUGAGACACGGUCCAGACUCCUACGGGAGGCAGCAGUAGGGAAUAUUCCGCAAUGGGCGCAAGCCUGAUGCAGCCAUGCCGCGUGGGUGAUGAAGGUCUUCGGAUUGUAAAACCCUGUUAUUAGGGAAGAAAAACUGCGUAAGAAAAUCUCGCUGUUCUGACGGUACCCAAACAGAAAGCAACGGCUAACUUCGUG